RNAcentral lists this ribosomal RNA (245 nucleotides) under uncultured bacterium. Its description in RNAcentral is "partial 16S ribosomal RNA". It matches the Rfam family "Bacterial small subunit ribosomal RNA", at positions 15 to 248 of the family's 1533-position model. The record is from RNAcentral.
GAUCAUGGCUCAGGAUGAACGCUAGCUACAGGCUUAACACAUGCAAGUCGAGGGGCAUCAGUUUGGUUUGCUUGCAAACCAAAGCUGGCGACCGGCGCACGGGUGAGUAACACGUAUCCAACCUGCCUCAUACUCGGGGAUAGCCUUUCGAAAGAAAGAUUAAUAUCCGAUAGCAUAUAUUUCCCGCAUGGGUUUUAUAUUUAAAGAUUUAUCGGUGUACGAUGGGGAUGCGUUCCAUUAGGUAG